RNAcentral lists this unclassified non-coding RNA (377 nucleotides) under fungal sp. Its description in RNAcentral is "partial internal transcribed spacer region". Lineage: Eukaryota; Fungi. The record is from RNAcentral.
AAGUCGUAACAAGGUUUCCGUAAGUAAACCUGCGGACGUAUCCAAACGUAAAAAACUCCCCCCGUGAACAUUCAAUCCUGCUCUUGGAACUCGCGUAGUUCGCAAUCUCUGGUAAAUCAUAGCCCGGAAAGUAGUUUUGAUUCAGAGAGAACAUUGGAACAGUUACACAAUCGAGCGGUAGUUUCAAAGGCAUUGUUUCCCCAAGCAGUCAGUGUCUGAAAGUGUCACUGAUUGUGCAAGGAUACGCUUCAACUAUUCCUGUAGACCGUACACUCGGGCAGGAGCUAUGCCAAAAGGUCUCCAUGCCCCCUUAUAACUCCACACUUUAAUGUGAAGCUCAAUGUAAUACACUGUUAACAAUGGAUAUCUUGGUUCUU